This 254-nucleotide ribosomal RNA is filed under the name uncultured bacterium. Its description in RNAcentral is "partial 16S ribosomal RNA". It matches the Rfam family "Bacterial small subunit ribosomal RNA", at positions 524 to 776 of the family's 1533-position model. The record is from RNAcentral.
UACGUAGGGUCCGAGCGUUGUCCGGAUUUAUUGGGCGUAAAGAGCUCGUAGGCGGUUCCGUAAGUCAGAUGUGAAAACUCAGGGCUCAACCCGGAGACGCCAUCUGAUACUGCGGUGACUGGAGUCUGGUAGGGGAACACGGAAUUCCUGGUGUAGCGGUGAAAUGCGCAGAUAUCAGGAGGAACACCGAUGGCGAAGGCAGUGUUCUGGGCCAGUACUGACGCUGAGACACGAAAGCCAGGGGAGCGAACGGG